GCACAAGCGGUGGAUGAUGUGGAUUAAUUCGAUGCAACGCGAAAACCUUACUACCCUUGACAUGUCUGGAACCUUGGUGAGAGCCGAGGGUGCCUUCGGGAGCCAGAACACAGGUGCUGCAUGGCUGUCGUCAGCUCGUGUCGUGAGAUGUUGGGUUAAGUCCCGCAACGAGCGCAACCCUUGUCACUAGUUGCCAUCAUUUGGUUGGGCACUCUAGUGAGACUGCCGGUGACAAACCGGAGGAAGGUGGGGAUGACGUCAAGUCCUCAUGGCCCUUAUGGGUAGGGCUUCACACGUCAUACAAUGGUCGGUACAGAGGGUUGCCAAGCCGCGAGGUGGAGCCAAUCCCUUAAAGCCGAUCGUAGUCCGGAUCGUAGUCUGCAACUCGACUCCAUGAAGUUGGAAUCGCUAGUAAUCGCGGAUCAGCACGCCCGCGGUCCGAAUACGUUCCGGCCUU
RNAcentral lists this ribosomal RNA (457 nucleotides) under uncultured Thauera sp. RNAcentral describes it as "bacterial SSU rRNA". It matches the Rfam family "Bacterial small subunit ribosomal RNA", at positions 924 to 1374 of the family's 1533-position model. The record is from RNAcentral. Lineage: Bacteria; Pseudomonadati; Pseudomonadota; Betaproteobacteria; Rhodocyclales; Zoogloeaceae.